GCCUUCGUGGUGUAGUGGUCAGCACGCUCGACGCGUAUUCGAGAGGUCCGUGGUUCGAGUCCCGGCGAAGGCU
This 73-nucleotide transfer RNA is filed under the name Stegodyphus mimosarum. Its description in RNAcentral is "tRNA-Thr for anticodon CGU". It matches the Rfam family "tRNA". From Rfam's summary of the family: Transfer RNA (tRNA) molecules are approximately 80 nucleotides in length. Their secondary structure includes four short double-helical elements and three loops (D, anti-codon, and T loops). Further hydrogen bonds mediate the characteristic L-shaped molecular structure. tRNAs have two regions of fundamental functional importance: the anti-codon, which is responsible for specific mRNA codon recognition, and the 3' end, to which the tRNAs corresponding amino acid is attached (by aminoacyl-tRNA synthetases). tRNAs cope with the degeneracy of the genetic code in two manners: having more than one tRNA (with a specific anti-codon) for a particular amino acid; and 'wobble' base-pairing, i.e. permitting non-standard base-pairing at the 3rd anti-codon position. The record is from Rfam by way of RNAcentral. Lineage: Eukaryota; Metazoa; Arthropoda; Arachnida; Araneae; Eresidae.